UCCCCAAGAAUAAAAGUCCUGGACCUGAUGGGUAUAUUGGGGAGUUUUAUCAAACAUUAAGAGAAGAAUUACUGGGUCUCUAACCUUAGUGGACAAUACAGAGCUCUGUGUGUUCUCUGCAAGGGCAGAAUAACAAGAUAAUCUUCCUACUUUUGAAUGAACUGUCUUUACUAGAGGCUGUUUAUCCAGUUGUCAGGAAGAAACUGGUAACUGGAAUGAGAUAGUAGGGACAUGGUAUAUUUGGGAAUCGGGUUGGGGCUCCUAAGGGACUUAGCUUGUGUUGUGACCAUUGAGGGAUGAACACAGAUCUUUUUGUAAUCUGAUGGCU
Small nucleolar RNA from Suncus etruscus (white-toothed pygmy shrew), 328 nucleotides. Lineage: Eukaryota; Metazoa; Chordata; Mammalia; Eulipotyphla; Soricidae. The record is from RefSeq and is a predicted model, not a curated record.